Molecule: long non-coding RNA, 1357 nt
Organism: Strigops habroptila (Kakapo)
Lineage: Eukaryota; Metazoa; Chordata; Aves; Psittaciformes; Psittacidae
Exons: 8
Source: RefSeq, a predicted model, not a curated record
GUGCCUGGCGCGCGGUCUGGUUACACUGCCAAGGGGGACGGGCGAGCUCCGGUUAAACCCGCCCCGCAGCUGAUGUUCUCGGCCCGGCCCGGCCCGGCCCGCGGAGCCCUUCGGCGGGCGGGCGCCCCGCGGGCUUUGACUGCCGGUGUCCUGAGCGCCGGGGUGCAGACUGUGAGGCGGAGGCGGCCCUGCCGCGACAGUUGUUCCAAAUUCAAGACAGAAAAGCUGAUAAAACGCCACCUCAGAACACGUGAGACUAAAGGGAACCGAAAGCUGAUUUCAGCAACAGAGGACGUUACAGGGCUGAGUAUCAGCUCCUGCGCGACCUCUGCGAGACAGCAAAACCGGCUGAGGUUCUCCUGUAAGAAAUGAAGCUCCCACUGAACUGCUGUUUUCUUUCUCAGUCUUCAGAAAGUCAAAUCUGAAGGUGCCUGUGGGGCUUUGAUGGGAGCACAAGCACCAAGUGUCUGCUCCACAUGCUUUCUGACUGCAGCCUCUCCUUUAUUUGCAAGUCUCCCUGCCUUCUUCUUCUACACAUUGAGACCAGCUGCCUCAGAGUUGCUGCCCUACCUGAGCUUCGCUGUAGUGCACAUUGGACCUCUUGUCUUAAGCAUCUUGGCUUUUAUCUUCUGCGGAAGUACGUGGCUUUCUGCACUUGGCUGAACCAAGACCUGGGCUGGAGUCUGAAUUCUCCUUGGAAACCAUGAAGUUUGUCAGUCAGAACUCACAAGGUGUGGAUGGACUUUUGUGUGAGGUCUCUCUCUGUGGACAGAAGCUCCUUUGGCUUGCUGAAUCUUCAUAUACAGCAGCAGGGCUCCCUAGAGGCAUGGCUGCAUUGAAUGCAACGUUUAUCAGACUCUGACCCACAGGCAAUCCCCACAAAUGGGACUUUCGAGUGAAAUUUCACUUGUCCUUAGUGUGAUGUCUCCAUGAAGCGAAUUCAUUCUGGUGACAGGUAAACUGUAACUGCACAGCUAUAAAUAUUUCAUGUUGCUAUGUAAACCAUAACUACAUGCAGUAGUACAUGUCUUUCUUGCUACAGUGUUUAAUUACAUAAGUUUUGUGAGUAAUGCAACUGCAGAAAUUAAACCUACAACCAGUUUUGGCUGAGUGAACACUCCCUACUUACACUUUGUUCAGCAUAUUUGAAUUCUAUGCUUGCAGUUUGCAGAGGUUUCAACAGAAGCCUUUAGCAUUGAGGACAGAGCUGCAGAACAGGGAAUAAGCUACCUUGUUACCUUGCUUGUUCGGAGGAAAAGUCAUGGAGUUAUUGCUGAACAAUUGAUUCCUGUUUAUGCUAAAGCCUGAGAGUGGGAAAUGCACUUAAAUGGAACCAAAUAAAAACAUUAUAACAUUU